UUGAGAGUUUGAUCCUGGCUCAGAACGAACGCUGGCGGCAGGCCUAACACAUGCAAGUCGAGCGCACCUUCGGGUGAGCGGCGGACGGGUUAGUAACGCGUGGGAACAUACCCUUUUCUACGGAAUAGCCUCGGGAAACUGAGAGUAAUACCGUAUAAGCCCUUCGGGGGAAAGAUUUAUCGGGAAAGGAUUGGCCCGCGUUAGAUUAGAUAGUUGGUGGGGUAAUGGCCUACCAAGUCUACGAUCUAUAGCUGGUUUUAGAGGAUGAUCAGCAACACUGGGACUGAGACACGGCCC
This 297-nucleotide ribosomal RNA is filed under the name Pseudo-nitzschia pungens. RNAcentral describes it as "partial Bacterial small subunit ribosomal RNA". It matches the Rfam family "Bacterial small subunit ribosomal RNA", at positions 1 to 332 of the family's 1533-position model. Lineage: Eukaryota; Bacillariophyta; Bacillariophyceae; Bacillariales; Bacillariaceae. The record is from RNAcentral.